RNAcentral lists this non-coding RNA (63 nucleotides) under Spodoptera frugiperda (fall armyworm). Lineage: Eukaryota; Metazoa; Arthropoda; Insecta; Lepidoptera; Noctuidae. The record is from RNAcentral.
AUUAGCAACUAGAUGGAGCUUCAAGAAAUAACUAUUACGGGAGUGCAUUGUAGUUGCAUUGCA